This is a long non-coding RNA of Triticum aestivum (bread wheat), 4761 nucleotides long. RefSeq lists it as uncharacterized. The record is from RefSeq and is a predicted model, not a curated record. Lineage: Eukaryota; Viridiplantae; Streptophyta; Magnoliopsida; Poales; Poaceae. The transcript is spliced from 8 exons.
CAUAUGGGCGGGGCCGGCGUCGCAGCGUGUGCUGCGUGCGUAAGUUCGGGUCAAAAAAGGGUGGACUGCAGCGGUCAUACGGUGAAAAACCUAGCCGGCACGCUCCUUCUCCUCGACCUUCCUCCUCUUCUGCCGCCGCCGCCUCUCCUCCUCUUCUUCUCUCUCCUGUGCCGUCGCCGCUUCUCACCCCCCCUCUCCACGCUAGCACGGUAGGGUCAUCGGGAUGAGCAGCGGCGGGCAUCUGUCGGUGUGCCGGAGUACAGCGGCGGGCUUCUGUGGUGUGCUGGAGUGCGCGGAUGACGAAAGCAGCGGAGGCAGCGGCCACGACCGUGCCCUCCUCUGCGCUUCCUCUCCAAAUACCCUCGGCUUCCGCACGGUGGAGACGGGUACACGGACUAGGCAGGCCACGGGACGACGGCUGGUCGAGCACCCACCGCAGCGAGGAGAGAUCGAGUACAACUCCCAGUUCAUGGAGGGGAUGCUGAUACAGGUUUGCUCUCCUCCUCCGCCACACCCAGGCCGAGCAGGCACCGGCAACACAUGAGCAGGAGGAGGAGCCCUUCCCAGGCUCGCGGGCCCGCUGCGAUGAAGCCGCCAGAGGAAGACCUGGACGACGACUGCUAGCCGAGGAGCCCCAAAGAAUUUCCCCAAACUUUCCUGUGCCUCCGCCCCCUCUUGAUUCAGUUGAGGGAGUACUCCUUGCUUCGAGAAGUACUUUUGAUUAAAGCUUCUUCGAUGCCCCAUGAACACUCAGGUUUGCUUUCAAGCUGCGGCGGAUUCUUAAAACGUAUUGUGGUUCAUGAAUUAUUUAGCAAUGAUAAAAUUUUCUCUAUUGUUAUUUGUUCUUAGGAUGUAACAAGUUCCCCAUGUCGAUGUUUAUCUUAGCACAUGACUGAAUAGUUUGACAAUGUUUAUAAUUUAUCACUUUCAAGUCAGCCUUUGUGUGAUUCAAAAAGAACCCACAUACUGUUGCGGGGUACAAAAUUACUUUUUCAGCUGGGUUUGUUCAAUAGGCUGUAAAUUUUGAGCAGAACGAUACAGAUCAACAGUCCAUGUUUAUAUAUACAUGCAUAAGAAUAUGUUGUGCGGCGAGGAUUUGUACAGAUUGGAAAGGGAAUUAACUAACAUCUUCGUAACGGCAGAAUGUUCCGUGAUUCUUCACGUAAGAUACUAAGAUUUGUUGAUGAUGCUUUGUUUGAGGUUCUGUGUACAUUGCACUUCAGUUCAGAACAUGGAGGGCUAAGAUGAUCACCAAUCGAUGACUAUUUCUUGUGUUUAUGGAAAUAGUACCCUGUAAUGAAUACCUUCAGCUACAUAGAUUCCUCAACCAAAGUUCAUGAUGGUUCAAUUUAUUUGAUGUUUUCUUCAGUUUUGGGACGGCAAUCACAGGAGCCAUUGCAUUUUCUUUGUCACAAUGGCAUUAGGUAGUUGUACCUACUGCGGUUGUUACACUAAUAUCUACUUAUUACCUGUUGCUAUAGUUACAAAGCUUCAACAGUUUACUAUAAAUUAGACUGGACUGAUUCCUAGAUAUCAUUGUAUUUUACCCAUAGGAUCAAUUUCCAAUGAGUUGGUGCCUAGGGUCUUGCGGCGAGCACAUUCUCUUUAGCUGCUGCCAUUUAUUCUGCUGCUUUCGUACAGCCUAGCACUCUUCUGUGGUGGGGCAUAUGUUAUUUUGUACCAAUGAUAGAUACAGAAAGUGCAAGACUUCUACUCUCUACUUAAUGAACUGAUUUUGCUUCAGGAUAACUAGCUUGAUUAAUUAGCAUGUUUCUGUGAUCAAUGAAUUACUAAGGUUGUGACCCCAGCUUGGAGGCUUGAGUUCCUUCGGUAGUUCUUUAUUUUACUUAAAUGAUCAUGCACCCUUUACUUAACAUAUGUCCUUUUGUACCUUAGCAAAGCAUUAGUUAGAUAUCUCAAUUUUUCAUGUGGGUCGUAGUCGUUGCUUAGUUAGCAUUAUUGUUUUGUUAGGUGUUAUCAUGUGUCCUGAACCUAUGCAGAUAGGUCUUACUUUGUCUUAGUUAUAGUUAAGAUCAAUGCGUACUGGAACAUUUAAGUAUUUCACCUAUAAUUUUCCAAGAUUGUGGCGAGCAUAUGUUUUCAUCUUACUGCAGGAGAGGUUGGUUUCACAUUGUAUUUGGAAGAAUGAGAUGCCCCAGAUCAAAUAUUAUCAAAAAAGCAGAAGAGCUAGGUGUAUAUAUGCUGAGAUGAUCCGCUCUUACAUUUUUUCUUGACGUGUAAAAGGUGCACUAGCUUGUCUAUGGCCCUCAUUGUUGUUUGGAAACAUUUCUGCUCUUCGCUUCAACAAUGCGCUCCUUUUUUUGUGAAGAGCAAUGCACUCAUUGAUGCUACUUUGUUAACAUGUCUUCGUUGGGUCUUGUUUCUUAUUUUUAUAACUACGGAUUUAGCAAGAGACUUUUUUGCCUCUGUAUUUUCACCAUACUUCCAUUUCAUAUUUUUAUUAGUGCAGUUUCUGAAUUAUUAUCCAGUGCCUUUUGGAGCUCGAGCUCCAUGGGACCCGAUAUUUGUACAUAUUUCAACCUGUUUUUUCUUGGAAGGUAAUCAUACGCUGAUGGGGAGGGUGUACCUAUUUUUUCAUCAAUUUGCCUUCUUUUGCUCUCCUAUUACCAUUCCCCUUUAGACAUAUCUUAUUUGAGAUUGUGCCUUCUUCGCCUUAUGACAUCUUUUUCUUAGCGAGUAAUUCCACCAUCUUUUUUGUUGUUUGGUUCCUAUUUGCUACUUCAGUGGUUUUUCCCUGAUCCUGAGAUUUUGUUAUUUUGUUUCUAUCUGGAGUCUGUAGAAAAAUGAAACCGUUUUACAUUUUAAUUUGCUCUGCAACUAAAGUCAUGUUGGACUCUAGGUGAUGAAGGACUAGCGUUGAGCCUGAGGUGACCUCAGCUCAUUUUUUUCAAUUCUGAUUUAGUUCAGAUUUUGAACCAUGAUUGCUACUUCAAAUUUGAUUAUCUUUUUUUGUCUUUCUGUAGUAGUGUUUCGUCUUUUAAAUUGCACUGCUAUUGGUACUUUGAUUCUGCUUCUAACCAUAUACAAGAGCAUCAGUGGGGAGCUAGGCCUACCUCUUAUUUAUGUUCUAUGCAUCUAAAUGCCGCCCUUUUUCAUUUAUACUCUUACAAUUAUCUUGAUGUAUGUAAUCUUUUUUUAUUCGGGUGAUUUCGCUCACGAGAUGCUUACAUGGUACUUGAGGCUUAAGCCUAUGUACCCUGCAUGUUUAUUGAUGUGGUUCAUCAUGCCUUCCUAGCUCCUUUUCAGCUGCCUGCUCAAAGUGAUUGGGCAUGUGAUGUUGUUGACACUGCUGUGUAAAUAAUAUUUCGUGCCCAGCAUCUUAGUUCAGCUGAUGGUUUGCAACUUAUAUCACUUACUUACCUGCUUUAAGUAGGUGAUUUUAAUGCUUUAAGUAGGUGAUUUUAACCUGCUGGAGCCCUCUGUGAUGAAAAAAGUGAACUGUUCAUGCCUUAUUUCAGAAAACUAAAUAUGCGCCAUGCUGAUAUACUUCAUGACGAGCAUGUUUUUGACAUCCAUUAAUGAUGCCCUGUUUUGACUUUUGAGUAGAUGAUUCUUUAUUUAUUAACCUAUACACCAAUAUUGUUUCCAUUGAUCAAUCUCAUAGUACUUUGUGUGUGUUUUUCUUAUCUUGAGCUGAAAACUUAUUGUCAGGUUAAACUAUUUUGUGGAUCAUUUAUAAUAUGGAUGUUCUGUAAAAGAAUAUUUACUGGAAUGUUAUGUAAAACCUAAGGCUCAAAAGGAAAGCUUCGGUAAAUUAGAAUAUUAAUUGAAAUAUUUAGGCGUUUCAUUAAAUUGGUCUGGAAGUCCAAGCUCAUCCAUUUAAUUAUUUGAGAGCAUCAUCAGUAUAGUUUUUUUCCAGAGACACAAUUUUGAGAAAAAAGAUACAUGGCCACCAAAUGAAUGUGUUGCUAUGCCGACUACUGUCCAGUCCAUUUACACUUCUUAUUUUCCUCUCUCCUGGAUUUCACAGGGCUCGAGUCCUAUAUAUAUUCUAAAUGUAUUUAUGCAAUUUUACUCUGCUGCUUGCACAUCCAUGGAUCUGAAAGUAUUGCGGGAGCUCCCAUGAUGGACUAUGAUGAAAAAGUAUUUCUUGUUGCCUGUUCUGUUGUGGUGCAAGUGUACCAUGAUGGACUAUGAUGAAAAAGUAGAGGGGCAUUGCCCGCUCUACUUCUUGCUCCAGUCAAGGACCUAAGCUCCUGCUGAUGCAGAUGUCCUGUAUUUGAUGGCCCUCCUAUGCCCUGCUCCUCUCGCAUUGGUGCAAAUUCGCUUCCUCCCCCGCCUCCGUCUCUACGUGUGCAGCGAUGACCCCGGGAGGAGCUCGAGCCGCAGCGGUGGUCCAUGGUUCCGUCGCCUUCGUCCUCGGCAGGAGAAGCGUGGGCUGCAGAGGAUUCGUCCGACCCUCGCGCUGCCGUCUGUCCACCCUUGAGGAUAAUGUGUUUGUUCCGCUGAUCUGUACAGUUUCAAUACCGAGUUGUUAAGGAGAAUGUUGAUGAUGCAUAUUCUACGACUUGCAGACCCCCCAACAGCAAAUUCAGUCCUACGUCUUUGAUGGUGAAGCGUGAAGAGCUACUUGAAUACACGUGAAAUGUCAUUUCAUGUCAUUUCAGGACUUGAGAGAAAUGCUGAUAUUAUGAGAAACAUUUACAAGGAUGGCCGACAGUGUGCGGCACUGACCUAGAUGGCGUGCCGCAUCAUUUCGGCCCAACCCCAAUGUUUCCCUCGCCACCCACGGCCAGAUGG